RNAcentral lists this ribosomal RNA (1388 nucleotides) under uncultured bacterium. RNAcentral describes it as "partial 16S ribosomal RNA". It matches the Rfam family "Bacterial small subunit ribosomal RNA". The record is from RNAcentral.
AGAGUUUGAUCAUGGCUCAGGAUUAACGCUGGCGGCAUGCCUAAUACAUGCAAGUCGAACGAGGGUAGCAAUACCCUAGUGGCGAACGGGUGAGUAACACGUAGGUAACCUGCCUUAGAGACGAGGAUAACUACUGGAAACGGUAGCUAAAACUGGAUAGUAUAUUCGGAGGCAUCUCUGGAUAUUUAAAAGUCCUUAUGGGAAUGCUCUAAGAUGGGCCUGCGGUGCAUUAGCUAGUUGGUGAGGUAACGGCCCACCAAGGCGACGAUGCAUAGCUGAGCUGAGAGGCUAAACAGCCACACUGGGACUGAGACACGGCCCAGACUCCUACGGGAGGCAGCAGUAGGGAAUUUUCGGCAAUGGGCGAAAGCCUGACCGAGCAAUGCCGCGUGAAUGAAGAAAUUCUUCGGAAUGUAAAGUUCUGUUAUUGAGGACGAAUGGUAGUAGUAGGAAAUGACUAUUACUUGACGGUACUUGAUGAGAAAGCCCCGGCUAACUAUGUGCCAGCAGCCGCGGUAAUACAUAGGGGGCGAGCGUUAUCCGGAUUUAUCGGGUUUAAAGGGUGCGUAGGCGGAAUAUUAAGCCUGAGGUAAAAAUUCGGGGCCCAACCCCGUCCCGCCUUGGGAACUGGUAUUCUAGAGUGGUUGAGAAGUAUGCGGAAUGCGUGGUGUAGCGGUGAAAUGCAUAGAUAUCACGCAGAACGCCGAUUGCGAAGGCAGCAUACCGGCAGCCCACUGACGCUGAGGCACGAAAGCGUGGGGAUCAAACAGGAUUAGAUACCCUGGUAGUCCACGCUGUAAACGAUGGAUACUAGGUGUGCGGGGACUGACCCCCUGCGUGCCGCAGUUAACACAAUAAGUAUCCCACCUGGGGAGUACGAUCGCAAGGUUGAAACUCAAAGGAAUUGACGGGGGCCCGCACAAGCGGUGGAUUAUGUGGUUUAAUUCGAAGCAACGCGAAGAACCUUACCAGGGCUUGACAUCCUUCUAACGAGGUAGAGAUACGUCAGGUGCCCUUCGGGGAAAGAAGAGACAGGUGGUGCAUGGUUGUCGUCAGCUCGUGUCGUGAGAUGUUGGGUUAAGUCCCGCAACGAGCGCAACCCCUAUUGUUAGUUGCUACGCAAGAGCACUCUAGCGAGACUGCCGUUGACAAAACGGAGGAAGGUGGGGACGACGUCAAAUCAUCAUGCCCCUUAUGUCCUGGGCUACACACGUAAUACAAUGGCGGUCAACAAAGGGAUGCAAAGCCGCGAGGCAGAGCGAACCCCAAAAAGCCGUCCCAGUUCGGAUCGCAGGCUGCAACCCGCCUGCGUGAAGUCGGAAUCGCUAGUAAUCGUGGGUCAGCAUACCACGGUGAAUACGUUCCCGGGCCUUGUACACACCGCCCGU